Long non-coding RNA from Patiria miniata (bat star), 690 nucleotides. RefSeq lists it as uncharacterized. The record is from RefSeq and is a predicted model, not a curated record. The transcript is spliced from 2 exons. NCBI's taxonomy places the organism in Eukaryota, Metazoa, Echinodermata, Asteroidea, Valvatida, Asterinidae.
GCUUUUUCUGCAUUGGUUUGUGUGUUGUUUGUCUGUCAGUUGUGUGUCUGUUGGUCAGUGUUUUAGUUGAGUCCCUCAGACGUCCUCGCAUGUCCUCACAGGUCCUCACUGGUCCUCACAAGUCCAUAAACAGUCCUGACAAGUCCUCAUAAGUCCUCACAAGUCCCCACAAGUCAUCACAGGUCCUCAUAGGUCCUCACUGGUCCUCACAAGUCCAUAAACAGUCCUGACAAGUCCUCAUAAGUCCGUACAAGUCCCCACAAGUCCUCAUAGGUCCUCACUGGUCCUCACUGGUCCUCACAAGUCCAUAAACAGUCCUGACAAGUCCUCACAAGUCUGCACAACACCUCACAAGUUCUCAGAAGGUCUCACAAGUCCUCACAAGUUCUCACACGCCCUGUAUCAAGAUAAAAUGUGAUGAAAGGAAAAAGAAGUCUCAAUAAAUUACAAAUUGAGAAGCAUAUUCAGCAUUUGGUUUUCGGUUUCACAUAAUCUCUAGAACUGUGUAGCAUAUGUUCAGUGGAUCAACUAAGUUUACUUUAUCACUGAAAGCAGUCAAUAUUUGUCUGCUGAGAUACAGAGACAUUUUUUUGGCGACAAUUGUUAUGGCCAUUCUCAAACAAGUAUUCAGCUGGGAUUUCCUUGAAUGAAAAACAUGGACUUUUCUUGCGUCAUUGAUAGUAGUGGUGU